AGAGGCUGUGCCUUCCACAAAUGCUAUCCUGUAUCUGUCAGAAGCAGAUAUUUCUUUGCCAUCCUUAAACCAGGACACCCUCAUGGGGAGGGAGCCUGCAAUUUUGCAGUCCAGUCUGCAGAUGUUUGGCUUCCAGCUUCAUUUUCAGCCAGGCACGUGUAUUUGCCUCCAAAACUAAUCUGAACAUCAGGGAGUAUCAAGACUGCAACACCAUUGGAAAAGCUCAUUUUGAUUUUUCCGUCUUCUCUGAUGACCUCUUGUCCUUUCAUCCAUGUGACAGAAAUGGGCUCUGACCCUCUCACAGCAGCUUGCAGGCUAAUUUCAAAUGGUCCAGUGCCUGAGAUUUCACACUGAAGUAGAGCAUUUGUUCCUCUCACUAUGUCUGCAGGCUCAAGAGUUUUGAUGAAAGAAGGAGGUUCUACAAAAGCAUGAAAGCAUUGUGUGGACCUUCUUAUUGAUAGCGGACUGCACAGGCUCUAAUUCUUUAAUGAAAUGUGGCUUAUCAAUGAUGAUCAACUCUGCUUGGCAGAUGUCUGCUCCAAACUUGUUAGAAGCCUUACAAGAAUAAACUCCUCUAUCUUGAAUGGCUCUGCAGUACCUACCAGCCAUGUUACCGUCUUAGUUGUUGGUCUCUCCAGUUGGUAAUACAAGCAUUUCCCACACAUGUACAGAAAGCAAAAAGGACAACAAUAUGAAAUGAAGUGACAACAUCUGUGCCAAUGUAUGGCAUUUACCUGUCACAGUUAGUGUGGCUGUACAGCUGACACUGCCAUACUCAUUGGAAGCUUUGCAUGUAUACUCGCCACAGUCAACCACCUGGGUUCUCAGGAUUUCAAGGCUGGAGAUAUACUUUGAAGAUCGAAUAGAACACUUGUCACUCUCAUAAAUUUCUCGGCCAGCUUUAAACCACUGGAACCGGACGUUGGGAGCACUUUGGAUCUCACAGCGUAUAAGCAUUAGAACACAGGACUCAAGUGUCUGCUGGCUGUAAAAAUACUGGAGAAACUCAUCUAUAGCAUGCAGAAUACAUAUUCAG
RNAcentral lists this non-coding RNA (1036 nucleotides) under Pongo abelii (Sumatran orangutan). Lineage: Eukaryota; Metazoa; Chordata; Mammalia; Primates; Hominidae. The record is from RNAcentral.